RNAcentral lists this ribosomal RNA (460 nucleotides) under uncultured bacterium. RNAcentral's name for it is "partial 16S ribosomal RNA". It matches the Rfam family "Bacterial small subunit ribosomal RNA", at positions 338 to 795 of the family's 1533-position model. The record is from RNAcentral.
CCUACGGGGAGCUGCAGUGAGGAAUAUUGGUCAAUGGCCGGAAGGCUGAACCAGCCAUGCCGCGUGAAGGUCAGUGCCCUAUGGGCGUUAAACUUCUUUUGUGCGGGAGCAAUAAUGGUCACGUGUGGCCAGACGAGAGUACCGUACGAAUAAGCAUCGGCUAACUCCGUGCCAGCAGCCGCGGUAAUACGGGGGAUGCAAGCGUUAUCCGGAUUUAUUGGGUUUUAAGGGUGCGUAGGCUGUGAGGUAAGUCAGCGGGGAAAUGCCCCCGCUCAACGGGGUGAAGUGCCAUUGAUACUGCCUUGCUGGAAUGCGGAUGCCGUGGGAGGAAUGUGUGGUGUAGCGGUGAAAUGCAUAGAUAUCACACAGAACACCGAUUGCGAAGACAUCUCACGAAUCCGCGAUUGACGCUGAUGCACGAAAGCGUGGGUAUCAAACAGGAUUAGAUACCCGAGUAGUC